AUUGAACGCUGGCGGCAGGCCUAACACAUGCAAGUCGAACGAGUGGCGGACGGGUGAUCAAUGUCUGGGAAACUGCCCGAUGGAGGGGGCUAACUACUGGAAACGGUAGCUAAUACCGCAUCCCAUCGGAUGUGCCCAGAUGUGAUUAGCUAGUAUGUGGGGUAACGGCUCACCUAGGCGACGAUCCCUAGCUGGUCUGCGAGGAUGACCAGCCACACUGGACCUUAGACACGGUCCAGACUCCUACGGGAGGCAGCAGUGGGGAAGAUUGGACAAUGGGCGCAAGCCUGAUGCAGCCAUGCCGCGUGUAUGAAGAAGGCCUUCGGGUUGUAAAGUACUUUCAGCGAGGAGGCGUUACUCGCAGAAGAAGCACCGGCUAACUCCGUGCCAGCAGCCGCGGUAAUAC
This 406-nucleotide ribosomal RNA is filed under the name uncultured bacterium. RNAcentral's name for it is "partial 16S ribosomal RNA". It matches the Rfam family "Bacterial small subunit ribosomal RNA", at positions 30 to 526 of the family's 1533-position model. The record is from RNAcentral.